CAGCUAGUCUAUGCAAAUAGACGCGCAAAUGCACAGGCUGCCCUGCUAGUUCAUCGAAUAACAGAUGACAAUAGCAUUAAGAUUCAAGAAUCAACGACACGCACAAAGAGUACAGUCAGACGAUCAUCUAAGCAACAUAAACGAGAUACACAUUGUAACGUAGCCAGAUACUCUCAGAACCCAACAAGCCGAUAAAUAACAUUGUAUGCUGUCAAUUUAGGCUACAUUGCGUCGAAUGAGUCUCGUCUGAACUACAAAAUCCAAAGGCUCCUUUGUCAGAUUGACCGCGAUCAAGCUUCAGUCUGCUCCCUCAGGCGACGGAUCGUGCUCCUGACAGUGACCGCACUUGCA
Molecule: long non-coding RNA, 351 nt
Filed under: Triticum aestivum (bread wheat)
Lineage: Eukaryota; Viridiplantae; Streptophyta; Magnoliopsida; Poales; Poaceae
Description: long non-coding RNA (TAES_LNC019766)
Source: RNAcentral